UUGCAUUAACCUGAGGGCAGCUGCCUUCCCAUCAAUGUUGCAGAGGCUGCACAGAAGGUACAGUGUUGCUGCUCUGAAUUCUUUAUGGCACAUCGAUGGAAACUACAGACUGAAGGUGGAGGAUAGUCAUCCAUGGUGGCAUUGAUGGUUACAGCUGCCUUGUGUUUCUCCACGCUUCCAGCAACAAGUGCAGCAUUACUAAAUGCUGAGGCCAGACAGUCCAUCCAGGCUUAGAACAGGAUCUGGUAGAAGCUAGAUUUCUGUGAUUGCCACCUAUUGAAUUGGAUAACCAUGGACCGGAACAGAUAAUCAAUAUUUUCCUGCAGUAGUGAAUGUAGGUUACGGCUCGACAUUAAAUAAUAACGAGAAGAAGAAGAAGUGAAUGUAGCUUGUUUCAUAACAACAUAGGUUGAUGGAGUGAUAUUGAGGGGUGAUUGUCAUUGUUUGUUUACUAAUUGUUAAAAAUAAACAAUGUAUAUCUUGAA
This is a long non-coding RNA of Osmerus eperlanus (European smelt), 485 nucleotides long. RefSeq lists it as uncharacterized. The record is from RefSeq and is a predicted model, not a curated record. The transcript is spliced from 2 exons. NCBI's taxonomy places the organism in Eukaryota, Metazoa, Chordata, Actinopteri, Osmeriformes, Osmeridae.